UCCGGUUUAACACCGGCAGUCUCGUUAGAGUGCCCGGCAUGACCCGCUGGCAACUAACGAUAAGGGUUUCGCUCGUUAUGGGACUUAACCCGACACUUCACAGCACGAGCUGACGACAGCCAUGCAGCACCUGUGAUAGUUCCGGAUUGGAUACCGGUCGUAACCAUUUCUGGGUCCUACUUCUACCAUGUCAAGUCCAGGAUAAGGUUCUUCGCGUUGCUUCGAAUUGAGCCACAUGCUCCACCGCUUGUGUGAGCCCCCGUCAAUUCCUUUGAGUUUUAGCCUUGCGACCGUACUUCCCAGGUGGCAGACUUAACAAUUUCGCUCCGACCGCAACGGGGUGUAACCCGCUGCAGUCUAGUCUGCAUCGUUUAGGGCGUGGACUAC
RNAcentral lists this unclassified non-coding RNA (387 nucleotides) under uncultured Tepidisphaerales bacterium. RNAcentral's name for it is "contains 16S-23S intergenic spacer region". Lineage: Bacteria; Pseudomonadati; Planctomycetota; Phycisphaerae; Tepidisphaerales. The record is from RNAcentral.